This 250-nucleotide ribosomal RNA is filed under the name uncultured bacterium. RNAcentral describes it as "partial 16S ribosomal RNA". It matches the Rfam family "Bacterial small subunit ribosomal RNA", at positions 524 to 773 of the family's 1533-position model. The record is from RNAcentral.
GACGUAGGAUGCGAGCGUUGUCCGGAUUUAUUGGGCGUAAAGAGUUCGUAGGCGGUUUGUUAAGUCUGAUGUUAAAGAUCGGGGCCCAACCCUGGGAAUGCAUUGGAUACUGGCAGACUGGAGUGCAGUAGAGGCGAGUGGAAUUCCCAGUGUAGCGGUGAAAUGCGUAGAUAUUGGGAAGAACACCGGUGGCGUAGGCGACUCGCUGGGCUGUAACUGACGCUGAGGAACGAAAGCCAGGGGAGCAAAU